CCAUCAACGUCCUCGGGCCCAACUUUAUUCGUGCGAAUGGCCUGUCAUCCUGACGAAUUGCCGAGUGGACUGCUGCACACACCUGGAGCCGCCUCCUCUUGCGCCUCUGAAACCUGUCCCGAGCCCGCUGUGCUCUGACUGCUCUCGUUCGGAUACUCUCCGCGACUUCGUCCCCCAUUAUCCGAUUCCUAGCCUGCUCGUACUGACGCUGCCUUUCCUUUAUCGGCUUGCGCUCGGACCAUCUAGCUUCGGGGGUAUCUAAUUUAACGUUGGAGGACCUAUCUAUUGGCUGCUUCGCGGCGACGUGGAACUCGACUCCUCCAAUUGCGUCGUGCUCCUUUUCGAGUUUCCCGGUCGACAUUUAGGGCAUUUUGGGAGGAUGACCCCGGCCAGCCCGCACUUGUAGCAGAACAGGUUACGCACGGCCGACUCACACUCAAAAUAGGUGUGACCCGGCUGAGCGCAAUUCCAGCACCUCAGCUGGGCGCAAUUCCAGCACCUCAGCUGGGCGCGAUCGCCCCCGGGUUCCCUCGUCCUAUGGACAGCAUCCAAUGCCUCGGUCUGUUCCUCUGGGUCGUGAGUGUUCGCAUCCAAUUCAUGCACUUUGUGAUCUUCCCUGCGCCAACUCCCCCCAAGGUCUGGACCGCUCCUUGUCCAUCGCGUCGCCAGCAGUUUCUCGGCGUCCGCACACUCUUCUUGCAGCUUCUGUAGGUUUGGUAUCUGCAUUGGAUAAAUCACCCUCGAAAUGGCAUCCCUAAUAUUGAUCUUUAUGAUCUUUAUUAGAUCAUAAUCUGAGAACGGAUUCAGCAACCUCGACCUCAACACCAACAUCUCCUGGAUGUACUGGUCUGCCGACUCCCCGUGGCGUUGUCGGCGUUCCCUGAGCUCUUGCUCUCGCUCGAACUCUGUCCGACGAACUUGAAGUUGCUGCUGGAGACCAUAUCUCAGAUUCGGCCAGUCCGGCAUUCCUACCGUCCGAACAUGCAUCCAGUACCAAUCCAAUCCAGUGGCCACUGACCAAUGUGUGAAAGGCUUUCAACACCUCCGCCCACAGUACCUGAUACGACGUCUGUAGGUGCUCCACCCGGAAUAUGAAUUCCGCCACGGGCAUCCCCUUUGGAUCGCCUUCGAAGCUGAGUCCCCAUCUUCGUAUUUGCACUUGCUCCUGCCUAGCCUCUCCGAAACUUGGUCGAUUCCGGUUAGGGUUUGCUUCUGCGCCCAUCCCGUUGAACAGCCACUCCUCCACGGGUCUCUGAUCGGCUUGGGUCCUCUGAUCGGCCUCCAAUGUUCGGUUGUCCACGAACAAGUGCGUUGGAUGUGCUCGCUGGUUCGCGGGUGCUUCCUGUUGACCUCCCAGACUGGUUGCAUUCGAUCCCCGAUUCCUUCAAUUCGCAUCACUCGCCGUUCGCUCCGCUUUUAACGAACCCACCACAGCGUUGAUCUCUCGCAUGAACUCUAGCAUGUCCGCUUUCAUUGACGAUCUCAGCGCUUCCAUUUGCUGCCCGAGCGACGCUCGGUAGGUCUCCUGUGCUUGGGCUAACGCUGCGUUCACGGCUGAGCUUAACUCGGACGGUAACACCAGGUCCUUACGGGUUCGCUGUUGACCUCCUACCGCUCCGGCCUCUGGGUCCUCCUGGUACAACCCCGCAUGUACGUUUUCCGCCACUUGCGACGGCCCUUCCGGCCUACUGCCGGCUUUACCGUCCUGGGACCGAGUCGUCGGCAUGUUGUACGGCUGGUACCUGCGCUGUGCCUCUGGGCUACGCCUUGUCUUUCCCGACCCUUUAAAAAUCUCCGGGUCACUCAUCAACCAAUUUUCGUAACGUACUCCUUUCCUUUGUCUAUUCUCUAUUUACUUAACUAUCUUGGUGAUAAAUAAAUUGGAUUGUUUAUUA
This is a long non-coding RNA of Drosophila miranda, 1895 nucleotides long. RefSeq lists it as uncharacterized. NCBI's taxonomy places the organism in Eukaryota, Metazoa, Arthropoda, Insecta, Diptera, Drosophilidae. The record is from RefSeq and is a predicted model, not a curated record. The transcript has 2 exons.